This 619-nucleotide long non-coding RNA is filed under the name Equus asinus (donkey). RNAcentral describes it as "lncRNA (ENSEASG00005036435.1)". The record is from RNAcentral. Lineage: Eukaryota; Metazoa; Chordata; Mammalia; Perissodactyla; Equidae.
CAAACAUCAGGAGAGUACUUCCUUUGUGCCAGGCUGUGUAGUAAAGAGUACUUUGUGUCAGGCUGACCCAAAGAGAAGUCUGGCCUUUGUCUCAGCUCCUGAAAGCUAAAGUGUCUACACGACUAUUCUCCUUGGAUUCCCUUCGGGCAAAAAUUCCUUCAAGGCCCCGUUCCAAUGGCACCUUCUUCCGGAAACCUUUGCUGACCCUCCCCAGGCAGGUCUCUUCUCUGAGUCCCCAGCGGUUCCUCCACACCUCCAUCGUAGCACUCACCACAACGAAUCGUAGUUGUUCUUUUCACACUGCCUGAAGUUGGAUCACGAGCUCGUCAAAGCCCUGGGCAGCUUCUGCUUCCCCUUUCUGUCCCCGGAGCCCAGCAGGUCAUCAGGCACAUAGAAGGUGCUGGUGGUCUGGGAACGUGAACGUGAGAAGCGUCCUUGUGCCGGGAGCUGUGCUAAGUGCUGGGAGGACACCGACGACUAGGACAGAACACACUCCCUGGCCGCCCAGCGUCCGCUCUGGUAAGUCCGUGAGCACAGGAGCGCUGCUCUCUGGAAUGGAUAGGAGAGCAGCGGCUCCAGGAGGAUCCCUCCACAGAGUCCAAGUCCUCUCCGAUUCGAC